RNAcentral lists this ribosomal RNA (461 nucleotides) under uncultured bacterium. RNAcentral describes it as "bacterial SSU rRNA". It matches the Rfam family "Bacterial small subunit ribosomal RNA", at positions 1 to 507 of the family's 1533-position model. The record is from RNAcentral.
UCGUACGACGAGUUUGAUCCUGGCUCAGAAUGAACGCUGGCGGCAGGCCUAACACAUGCAAGUCGAGCGAGGACUUCGGUCCUAGCGGCGGACGGGUGAGUAACGCGUGGGAAUAUGCCCUUUGGUACGGAAUAGCCUCGGGAAACUGGGAGUAAUACCGUAUGUGCCCUUCGGGGGAAAGAUUUAUCGCCAAAGGAUUAGCCCGCGUUGGAUUAGGUAGUUGGUGGGGUAAUGGCCUACCAAGCCGACGAUCCAUAGCUGGUUUGAGAGGAUGAUCAGCCACACUGGGACUGAGACACGGCCCAGACUCCUACGGGAGGCAGCAGUGGGGAAUCUUAGACAAUGGGCGCAAGCCUGAUCUAGCCAUGCCGCGUGAUCGAUGAAGGCCUUAGGGUUGUAAAGAUCUUUCAGAUGGGAAGAUAAUGACUGUACCAUCAGGAGAAGCCCCGGCUAACUCCGUG